Molecule: antisense RNA, 75 nt
Filed under: Embleya hyalina
Lineage: Bacteria; Bacillati; Actinomycetota; Actinomycetes; Kitasatosporales; Streptomycetaceae
Description: ASpks TB sRNA
Rfam family: ASpks TB sRNA
Source: RNAcentral
CUUCAACGACCCCAGCCACAAAGGCCGUUCAUCGGGUCGGCCCUGCCCGUACGUGGCGAUCAACGCCUGCGCCUC